RNAcentral lists this microRNA precursor (157 nucleotides) under Brassica rapa (field mustard). Its description in RNAcentral is "mir-395 microRNA precursor family". It matches the Rfam family "mir-395 microRNA precursor family". From Rfam's summary of the family: mir-395 was identified in both Arabidopsis thaliana and Oryza sativa computationally and was later experimentally verified. mir-395 is thought to target mRNAs coding for ATP sulphurylases. The mature sequence is excised from the 3' arm of the hairpin. Lineage: Eukaryota; Viridiplantae; Streptophyta; Magnoliopsida; Brassicales; Brassicaceae. The record is from Rfam by way of RNAcentral.
AUGUCCCCAUGAGUUCCCUUUAAGGCUUUAACGCUUCAUUGUUAAUACUCUCUUUUUUUUAGUCAUUGUUAAUACUCAAAAGCCACAUUUAUUUUCUUAAACGUUUGGUCAGUUUUGUAUGUAACACUGAAGUGUUUGGGGGGACUCUUGGUGCCAU